GCAAAUCAGGGAAUAGAGAAAAAAAAGUAAAUGUCCUGGGACAAAGUUCCAUUACUCUGACAAUGGCAGUACAUUAUAUAUGCUGUGUCUCUUUCUGUUUUGUAGAGAAACCUAAAGGCAUAUAUGCCAGAAAUGCUUGCCACAAGCCAUCUGGGUAGAAAUACUUAUUUGCCUCUAAAAAGUUUAAGAAAACAAAAAGUGCCCAAUUUUAUUUAAUGUAGAAUGCAUGCACUGCUUUGAACUUAGCAUAACUUGAAUGUAUAUCAAAAUAAAACAAAGAAAUAGGCAAGAGUUUCCUGCUUAUAAAUUAUUAUUUGUUGCACAAUUGAGUGGAAGACACAGAGAUUUUUUAUAUAUCUCCUACUCCCACACAGGCAUAGCCUUUCUAUUAUCAACAUUCUCUACCAGUUAUCACCCAACUUCAUUGUUUACAUUAGAACUCACUCUUGAUAUUGAAUAUUCUGCAGAUUUGGAUUUGUGUGUGUGGGUGUGUGUGAUGACAUAUACACCACUAUAAUAUCAUACAGAGUAUAUUCACUGCCAUAGAAAUCCCCUCA
RNAcentral lists this long non-coding RNA (557 nucleotides) under Homo sapiens (human). Its description in RNAcentral is "non-protein coding lnc-SPOPL-14:1". Lineage: Eukaryota; Metazoa; Chordata; Mammalia; Primates; Hominidae. The record is from RNAcentral.